ACAAUUCUGGGAUACUUAAUAUGUUUUCUAACAAAAUUAAAAAAACGUUAAAGUAAAAAUGUUAAAAUAAAAUGUAUAAUAUAUAAUACAAUUAUUAUUUGUAGCAUAUUUUAGUACUAUGUAGGUCUACUGUAGCUACGUAUUACUGUAUUAACUACUAUUAUUUCAUACUAAUAUUACUACUACAUUUAGGCUACUAUUAGUAGUAGUAGUAUGUGUAAGAAAAAUAAUAUUGCACGUUCUUUUUAUUGUACUUUACAAAUCUCAAAGUGCUACCACAGACAACAACAAUAACACAAUAACAGUGUAGCAAUUACAAAUAAGUUCUGUAAUAAUUACAAAUAAGAUCUUUGGAAUAAAAUGCAGCCUUGAGUUUAGUUUCAUCAAAAUAUCAAGCAAUCUGCGUAGAAUUGACAAUAUGAGCUCUGUUGGGUUGUCUAAAUAAUUUGCGUGUGACUUGUGUAUUUUUUCCCAGAUGGAUAUUACAAUUCAAAAAGGGUGGUCUCUCUGACAGAAAUAAUACAGUGCACCAAAUGCUGCAGUCAUUUCCACUGUCCAUUUUGUGAUGCCUCAGUUUUCCAACCAACACGGUUGGCAAAAGUGCAAAUGCAUCUGCAGGCACAUUUCAAUAGAUCGGUCCAGCAUGAAGGUAAUAUUUGCAAGUGUACAUCUUAUUAUAGUGAAAAAUUGUAAGACAAACUUAAAGUGCAAUCUUAUACUGCUGUUUUUAUACCUCCUUCCAGAGGUAAGCCCAAAACAUGUUUGAACAUGAGCAUGUUUAUGUUCUGCAGUGUGUGCAUGUUUUAUUUUAUUAAUUGGUUUAUUUGUACAGGCCAUCAUUCAUGGCCUUUGCGAGCUGCAGGGCUUGUCUUGGCAGGAGGCUGAAGAGGUGUUCCUCCAGAGCCCCAUUUAUCAGUCAAGUGAAGUUGAGGAAUUUGACACAAGAAUUGCUCGAGAAAUGAAAAAUCUCCCCAACAAGAAUGUAAAGCAUUUAUUUUAUUUCAUGUUAUUUAAUAUGUAAUAUAUACAUUAUUAACCCAAUUAUUUUUUUCACCAUUUUUCUCUGCAUUGUUUACAGCUCGAUGACUUGUAGGACCUCAUGAAAAAGAAUACAAAAAUAAAGUUUGGUGUGAGAAAAUGACUCCGAGCACUAUAAUUUAUUAUGCUGAAACAAAAAGCAGCCAGGCCACAACAUCUACAAUGGAAACUUCUAUUAAAGUGGCUCCGUAAUGUAAGAGUCUAGAGACAGUGGAAGGAGCAGAAGAACUAGAAGAUCAGAGAUCAGGCAGAGCUCUAAUGGUGCCCCUUAGGGUAUUGAUUUAUCUAUAAUUAUCUAUAAUAUCUACUUAAUGUUCUGAUGUAGUUAUAAUUGGCCAUUGUUCUGUUUUAUAAAACUAUUCAAUAUAUUCUACUGUUCAAUAUUUUGGGGUCAGAAAGUUUUUUUAUUUUUAUUUUUUAAGAAAUUAUUUGUAUUAUCAAGGGAACAUUAAAUUGAUAAAAAGCGACAGUAAAAACUUUUACAUUGUUGCACAAAAAUCCUAUUUUUAACAAAAUGCUGCUCUUUUAAAAGCUCUAUUGUGCUGCCCUUAGAAAUGCUAUUUUUGUGUAUUAAUUUUAUUUGUAUAUAUUGUGAAUUAUUUCCUAUGGGACUUUUAUUGUGAAAUCGCCAUCUCACUGCGCAGAAGCGCAUUGCCCUGCGAUUGGCUGGUGGUUGUGCUAAUUAAAAGCGACCACAGCGACUGUAAAAACUAUUUAAACUGUUCGGGCACUGUUAGACCCCGGGAGAAGGCGAUUAGUCACCAGAAGAGACGGACGGCAGGGCGUAAGUGUUUUAAUACUUAUUCUUAGCUCUGUUGUUUAAAUUAAUUACUUGCUGCUAGGAAAGAAUAGUUCGUUUCCUACCUAUUUCUAUUCUGCUUUUUCGUUGUGGUUUAUAUUUUUGAUUGCACUUACUGGUCAUUAUAAUAACUGCCCUUUAGCUGAAACUCCUUUCCUGCACUUAAGUGCGAAGUGUUAGUUUCGAUUUGAGCCAUUGCCCUGCAAUUGGCUGGUGGUUGUGCUAAUUAAAAGCGACCACAGCGACUGUAAAAACUAUUUAAACUGUUCGGGCACUGUUAGACCCCGGGAGAAGGCGAUUAGUCACCAGAAGAGACAGACGGCAGUGCGUAAGUGUUUUAAUACUUAUUCUUAGCUCUGUUGUUUAAAUUAAUUACUUGCUGCUAGGAAAGAAUAGUUCGUUUCCUACCUAUUUCUAUUCUGCUUUUUCGUUGUGGUUUAUAUUUUUGAUUGCACUUACUGGUCAUUAUAAUAACUGCCCUUUAGCUGAAACUCCUUUCCUGCACUUAAGUGCGAAGUGUUAGUUUCGAUUUGAGCCAUUGCCCUGCGAUUGGCUGGUGGUUGUGCUAAUUAAAAGCGACCACAGCUUUUUUUUCACUCUAGACUGUGUAUUUGUUUGAGGUGUGUGCGCUGACGCGGAAGCGUCUGCAGAAGCGUUCAGCCGUCGUGUUCAGCCUCCUCGUGUGAAGACCGAGGAGUGUAAAGACCUGCGACUUUUUCCUGUGUGACUUGAACCGAGCAACGACACCGAGCUACACAC
Long non-coding RNA from Onychostoma macrolepis, 2596 nucleotides. RefSeq lists it as uncharacterized. The transcript has 3 exons. NCBI's taxonomy places the organism in Eukaryota, Metazoa, Chordata, Actinopteri, Cypriniformes, Cyprinidae. The record is from RefSeq and is a predicted model, not a curated record.